This is a long non-coding RNA of Sander lucioperca (pikeperch), 802 nucleotides long. RefSeq lists it as uncharacterized. Lineage: Eukaryota; Metazoa; Chordata; Actinopteri; Perciformes; Percidae. The record is from RefSeq and is a predicted model, not a curated record. The transcript is spliced from 3 exons.
GACGGCAUGUCACACAGCAGUCUCCUUCCCUAGGCAAUAACCAUCCGCGGCACUAUCCACUCGCCGUAGCCGAAUACACAAACACACACACACACGGUUCCUGUGUCCCGUUGCUAACUCACGGCUAGCUUACGCUAACGUCUGUACUGUUGGUACUUUGGCUGUUGGGGGGCGAACAAAGAAACGACCCCGCGGUCACAUUUACCGGAGUGAUGCUAGGCGAAAAGUAUGCAUCGCCGUGAGAAGGAAUAUGGCGUUUUAUAUCGGUUUUGUUGGUGUUCCUGCAAAUAGACGGUUGCAGGUGGACUGGUGUUGACAUGGUCCGUGGGAGCUGGAGGUCCGCAGCUGUGUGGGACUGCAGUGAUUUUAUUUGUCUCCUAGCUGCAGAUAUGCAGCCUCAGUGGAUGCCAUCUGGGAAGAAGAGGAGGAAGAGGAACCUUCUAGAGACCACGUGAAGGAACAUCUUCUCUGUGCUGAAGCUCUGAGAUGAGUGCAGAGUUUCUGGACCACAACGGAGAAGUUCCUUCACUCCAUUCUUGCCUUCUUCAUACUGUUCUCACUGUUUACACAUAGUAUUGUAUGCCAUGAAAAAAAUGAAUAAAAAAUAAAUAGUAGUAGUAUGUAUUAUGUCAAAAAAUCUCUGAAAAAGUCGUACAGAAUGUCAAAAAGUGUUAUUACAUAGUUAUUACAUUGUAAUAACACUGUUAUAACAUGUAUUAUGUCAAAAAAGUCGUACAGAAUGUCAAAAAGUGUUAUUACAUAGUUAUUACAUUGUAAUAACACUGUCAUAACAUGUGUUAUG